AGCUCCAAUAGCGUAUAUUAAAGUUGCUGCAGUUAAAAAGCUCGUAGUUGCAUUUCCGAGGCAAGGGAUUAGUCCGACCUUUGGUGGGUAUUUAAUCCUCUUGCCUCGUCCUUGAGUGGUGCUUCUUGGUAUUAAGUUAUCGAGGAGAUAGCCGCUCAUCGUUUACUGUGAGAAAAUUAGAGUGUUCAAAGCAGGCUUAUGCCGUUGAAUAUAUUAGCAUGGAAUAAUAAGAUAGGACCUCGGUACUAUUUUGUUGGUUUGAGAACCAAGGUAAUGAUUAAUAGGGACAGUUGGGGGUAUUCGUAUUCCGUUGUCAGAGGUGAAAUUCUUAGAUUUACGGAAGACGAACUACUGCGAAAGCAUUUACCAAGGAUGUUUUCA
RNAcentral lists this ribosomal RNA (381 nucleotides) under uncultured marine Chaetocerotaceae. RNAcentral's name for it is "SSU rRNA". It matches the Rfam family "Eukaryotic small subunit ribosomal RNA", at positions 587 to 972 of the family's 1831-position model. The record is from RNAcentral. Lineage: Eukaryota; Bacillariophyta; Thalassiosirophyceae; Chaetocerotales; Chaetocerotaceae.